CCUACGGGGCGCAGCAGUGAGGAAUAUUGGUCAAUGGGCGCGAGCCUGAACCAGCCAAGUAGCGUGAAGGAUGACUGCCCUACGGGUUGUAAACUUCUUUUAUAAAGGAAUAAAGUGAGGCACGUGUGCCUUUUUGUAUGUACUUUAUGAAUAAGGAUCGGCUAACUCCGUGCCAGCAGCCGCGGUAAUACGGAGGAUCCGAGCGUUAUCCGGAUUUAUUGGGUUUAAAGGGAGCGUAGGUGGGUUGUUAAGUCAGUUGUGAAAGUUUGGGGCUCAACCGUAAGAUUGCAAUUGAUACUGGCGGUCUUGAGUACGGUUGAGGUAGGCGGAAUUCGUGGUGUAGCGGUGAAAUGCUUAGAUAUCACGAAGAACUCCGAUUGCGAAGGCAGCUUACUAAACUGCCACUGACAUUGAUGCUCGAAAGUGUGGGUAUCAAACAGGAUUAGAUACCCGAGUAGUC
Molecule: ribosomal RNA, 460 nt
Filed under: uncultured bacterium
Lineage: Bacteria
Description: partial 16S ribosomal RNA
Rfam family: Bacterial small subunit ribosomal RNA
Source: RNAcentral